CCCCUGUCAGGGUCGCAUCUGGAGAGUUUCUAAUACUCUACUAGUCUCGACUAAACCCGGGGAGAGUCAAGCAGAGGCCGGUCCAUUCCAUUCCUAGCUUGGCCAGUGGCUAGCGAGUGGAAGGCAAUCUGCUACAAGU
Molecule: small nucleolar RNA, 139 nt
Organism: Ornithorhynchus anatinus (platypus)
Lineage: Eukaryota; Metazoa; Chordata; Mammalia; Monotremata; Ornithorhynchidae
Source: RefSeq, a predicted model, not a curated record